This 100-nucleotide signal recognition particle RNA is filed under the name Pseudomonadota bacterium. Its description in RNAcentral is "Proteobacteria bacterium signal recognition particle sRNA small type". It matches the Rfam family "Bacterial small signal recognition particle RNA". Rfam says of the family: The signal recognition particle (SRP) is a universally conserved ribonucleoprotein involved in the co-translational targeting of proteins to membranes. The record is from RNAcentral. Lineage: Bacteria; Pseudomonadati; Pseudomonadota.
CAGGGUUUUCGGGGCAUCGGGAGAUUUUGCUAACCUGGUCAGAUCUGAAAAGAAGCAGCCAUCGCUUUAUCGCUCGAGUGCCCCGAUAAAUAUCUAGAAU